RNAcentral lists this ribosomal RNA (497 nucleotides) under uncultured bacterium. Its description in RNAcentral is "partial 16S ribosomal RNA". It matches the Rfam family "Bacterial small subunit ribosomal RNA", at positions 28 to 523 of the family's 1533-position model. The record is from RNAcentral.
GUUGAACGCUGGCGGCAUGCCUUACACAUGCAAGUCGAACGGUAACAGGUCUUCGGAUGCUGACGAGUGGCGAACGGGUGAGUAAUGCAUCGGAACGUGCCCAGUAGUGGGGGAUAGCCCGGCGAAAGCCGGAUUAAUACCGCAUACGACCUGAGGGUGAAGGGGGGGAUCGCAAGACCUCUCGCUAUUGGAGCGGCCGAUGUCAGAUUAGCUAGGUGGUGGGGUAAAGGCCUACCAAGGGACCGAUCUGUAGUUGGACUGAGAGGACGACCGACCACACUGGGACUGAGACACGGCCCAGACUCCUACGGGAGGCAGCAGUGGGGAAUUUUGGACAAUGGGCGCAAGCCUGAUCCAGCAAUGCCGCGUGCAGGAAGAAGGCCUUCGGGUUGUAAACUGCUUUUGUCAGGGAAGAAAUCUUCUGGGUUAAUACCUCGGGAGGAUGACGGUACCUGAAGAAUAAGCACCGGCUAACUACGUGCCAGCCGCCGCCGUAA